UACCGAUUGAAAUCACAUUUC
Molecule: non-coding RNA, 21 nt
Filed under: Caenorhabditis elegans
Lineage: Eukaryota; Metazoa; Nematoda; Chromadorea; Rhabditida; Rhabditidae
Source: RNAcentral